This 429-nucleotide ribosomal RNA is filed under the name Chloroflexota bacterium. Its description in RNAcentral is "Chloroflexi bacterium partial 16S ribosomal RNA". It matches the Rfam family "Bacterial small subunit ribosomal RNA", at positions 355 to 776 of the family's 1533-position model. The record is from RNAcentral. Lineage: Bacteria; Bacillati; Chloroflexota.
UGGGGAAUAUUGCACAAUGGGCGCAAGCCUGAUGCAGCCAUGCCGCGUGUAUGAAGAAGGCCUUCGGGUUGUAAAGUACUUUCAGCGGGGAGGAAGGGAGUAAAGUUAAUACCUUUGCUCAUUGACGUUACCCGCAGAAGAAGCACCGGCUAACUCCGUGCCAGCAGCCGCGGUAAUACGGAGGGUGCAAGCGUUAAUCGGAAUUACUGGGCGUAAAGCGCACGCAGGCGGUUUGUUAAGUCAGAUGUGAAAUCCCCGGGCUCAACCUGGGAACUGCAUCUGAUACUGGCAAGCUUGAGUCUCGUAGAGGGGGGUAGAAUUCCAGGUGUAGCAGUGAAAUGCGUAGAGAUCUGGAGGAAUACCGGUGGCGAAGGCGGCCCCCUGGACAAAGACUGACGCUCAGGUGCGAAAGCGUGGGGAGCAAACAGG